Molecule: ribosomal RNA, 251 nt
Filed under: uncultured bacterium
Lineage: Bacteria
Description: partial 16S ribosomal RNA
Rfam family: Bacterial small subunit ribosomal RNA
Source: RNAcentral
GACGGGGGGGGCAAGUGUUCUUCGGAAUGACUGGGCGUAAAGGGCACGUAGGCGGUGAAUCGGGUUGAAAGUGAAAGUCGCCAAAAAGUGGCGGAAUGCUCUCGAAACCAAUUCACUUGAGUGAGACAGAGGAGAGUGGAAUUUCGUGUGUAGGGGUGAAAUCCGUAGAUAUCGGAAGGAACACCAGUGGCGAAGGCGACUUCCUGGACCAUUACUGACACUGAGGCGCGAAAGCGUGGGGAGCGAACAGG